UCAAUUCGAAUGGUGUAUCCAAGAUAUAUAGAGACUGGUAGGCGCGCUUAUACCUGUAAAAUUUGACGCCAAAUCCGGCGCUAGGUAAACUCAAUCCAUAGAUGGCGCCAGGGUGAUCAGUGUACUUCAAAUGAAUGUCAUUUAAAUUGUUUUAGGUUAUGAUGUUAUGUACAAAAAUUUUUUACUUAGCGACUUGGUGUGGUUUGGCAUCUACAGUGUGUUAUACCUAGUUAUUGUUGCAAACAAUUUCGAGCAUUGAGGGGUUCCACUAAAAAGGAUGCUCGUUAUCACAGUAAAUAGUAGCGCAAUACCUGCAUUACAGACUUCUCACCCCGUCUAGCUGUCGGAGCUUGUACUGGAUCAAGCGAAGUCAACAAGUCAUUGAUCAAUGUAAACCAUAUGUGAACAAACCAGGAGCCGCCCUUCUUAUAUUAAGAUAAGCAUCAAAUGACCCUCACCUACACAAUCUACGGUGUAAGCAAUCAUGCCGAGAGCUGUAAGAACCUCUGACACAAAAUCAUUAUUGCCCGUUUGAUUAGCGAGAUUCUCGGCUGCUGAGAUGGGGAUUGAAGGAACUGGCAAAAGUCUACAUUAUUACUGUUAAGAUGGAAGGUAGGGGACCCGACUUGUUCAACCUACCUUUUUAUUUUAUAACUUAAUCUCGGAAGCUCCCAGGAUCUAAAUGCUGGAUAGAAGGGGACUAGUGCAAUAAUUUUAACCAACUUCUGUUCCAGGAGUGUGGCUUAUCCUAACCUUAGUCAUCUUCCCAUUUAACGCCUCUGCAAAACGACCAACUUCGGACUUCAGAAGAAUGACAGAUCACUGCGUAGGCAACGACGUGGAAUUGUAUUAGGUGUCGAUGCUAACGAUGUGUGGGGAAACACAACUACACUACACUUCUGCAGUCUGCACAGCUUCCUUGCCUUGGGUCUCAUGCCGAGUACAAUUACUUAGUGGUCGCUCUCCUACUUUCCAUGGAAAUUUAAAAUACAGAUGCGUUAAAACAUAGACCCUUUUUCCAUAUUAUUAUCAGGGAAACUGCCUGUUACAUUUUUUACAAAUAUUUACAAAUAAAUUUUCUAUAAACAAC
This is a long non-coding RNA of Photinus pyralis (common eastern firefly), 1090 nucleotides long. RefSeq lists it as uncharacterized. The record is from RefSeq and is a predicted model, not a curated record. The transcript has 2 exons. Lineage: Eukaryota; Metazoa; Arthropoda; Insecta; Coleoptera; Lampyridae.